Molecule: long non-coding RNA, 457 nt
Organism: Hyla sarda
Lineage: Eukaryota; Metazoa; Chordata; Amphibia; Anura; Hylidae
Exons: 3
Source: RefSeq, a predicted model, not a curated record
AGCGCCGAGCAAUCGAUAGUGGUCUGGGAGUCGAGCGGCAGGCUGUGCUGUGUGAGAACGUGAGGAGAUUUCUCCUGUGCAGUCAUAGUUAUUACUGUGUGUGAUCGCUGCUGCACAGUCAUAGUAUCAGCCAUGUAUGGAGCAAGAUUAACGCAUCAAAGUCCAGCGCAGCGACAGAAGAUGAUACUGAACGGAAAGGUUUUGAUGACCCUUGGCCUACACAUACCCAGCCACCUUUAGCGACCUACCAGUGUGCAGGAUCUACAGGCCCAGCGGCAACAUCUGUGGGCAAAUGUACCAUACUGAACCUGCAUGCCUCCAUGCCUAACUGUAUGUCACCAUGUUUCCAGGCUAGAGGCGCCCAAAAGGAUACUAGAGCCUCCUUUCAAUUGUACAGUUUUUCCCAAUAAAUGUAUCCUGUCACUCUAAUAUUGUAAUCACAGAUAUCACUUUUAUA